GGAUUUUGGCCAUUCUAAUAGAGCAGAAAUGUUUCAUUUUAAUGAAGUCCAGCUUCUCAAUUCUUUCUCUCAUGGAUCAUGCUUUUGGUGGGAACAAAGUUUGUCCUCCUGAUACAAACAAUCUGGAAUGAUCAAUAAGGAACCAUCAGUGGUCAAUAAGGACACAUCCACGGGCUUUCAUUAAAACACUCUGAGUUUUCAAGGACUCCUGGUUGACUAGAGGAGGCCGUGUGGUUCUGAUGAAGCACGAGGCCGUGGAUAUUUGGAGCAGUCACUCUGUGCAGGGUCCAAAGCUGCAGAGCAGAAUGACUCAGGACAGACAGCAGGGGAACUCUA
Molecule: long non-coding RNA, 336 nt
Filed under: Equus asinus (donkey)
Lineage: Eukaryota; Metazoa; Chordata; Mammalia; Perissodactyla; Equidae
Description: lncRNA (ENSEASG00005023795.1)
Source: RNAcentral